This 64-nucleotide transfer RNA is filed under the name Hydroporus gyllenhalii. RNAcentral describes it as "tRNA-Arg". Lineage: Eukaryota; Metazoa; Arthropoda; Insecta; Coleoptera; Dytiscidae. The record is from RNAcentral.
AAAUAAGAAGUAAAAUUUACAUUUAGUUUCGACCUAAAAAUUUGGUAUUAUAUACCCUUAUUUA